CGUUGAAACACGGGUUCCCGUAUGAUCUAUGAAGUUAAGCAACAUCAAGCCUGGUCAGUAACUAGAUAGGUGACCGGCUGGGAAUAUCAGGUGGU
This is a non-coding RNA of Acanthosepion pharaonis, 95 nucleotides long. The record is from the annotation of a GenBank genome assembly. Lineage: Eukaryota; Metazoa; Mollusca; Cephalopoda; Sepiida; Sepiidae.